Small nuclear RNA from Jaculus jaculus (lesser Egyptian jerboa), 107 nucleotides. The record is from RefSeq and is a predicted model, not a curated record. NCBI's taxonomy places the organism in Eukaryota, Metazoa, Chordata, Mammalia, Rodentia, Dipodidae.
GUGCUCACUUUGAUGGCACAUACACUAAAAUUGGAACGAUACCGAGAAGAGUAGCACAGCCCCUGCACAAGAAUGAUGUGCAAAUUCAUGAAGUGUUCCAUAUUUCU